AUGAGCAAAAGCUUAAGCCCUCGCUACCAAGGGCUUUCCACCUACGAGAAGGAGUAUCUGGCUAUUGUAGUUGCAGUAGAUCAAUGGCGACCGUAUUUGCAGCACAAUGAAUUCAUCAUCCACACAAACCAGAAGAGCUUAGUCCAUCUCGAAGAGCAGCGUCUCACUACACCCUGGCAGCAGCGGGCAUUUACUAAGCUACUCGGCCUUCGUUACAUCAUCGGAUACAAGAAAGGGACAGAGAACACAGCGGCUGACGUGCUAUCGCGUCUACAACUGUAA
Molecule: ribosomal RNA, 282 nt
Filed under: Triticum aestivum (bread wheat)
Lineage: Eukaryota; Viridiplantae; Streptophyta; Magnoliopsida; Poales; Poaceae
Description: partial small subunit ribosomal RNA
Source: RNAcentral